GGCCCGUUGGUCAAGCGGUCUAAGACAUCGCCCUUUCACGGCGGUUACACGGGUUCGAAUCCCGUACGGGUCACCA
Molecule: transfer RNA, 76 nt
Filed under: Desulfosporosinus acididurans
Lineage: Bacteria; Bacillati; Bacillota; Clostridia; Eubacteriales; Desulfitobacteriaceae
Also listed under: 1 other name
Description: tRNA-Glu
Rfam family: tRNA
About the family: Transfer RNA (tRNA) molecules are approximately 80 nucleotides in length. Their secondary structure includes four short double-helical elements and three loops (D, anti-codon, and T loops).
Source: RNAcentral